RNAcentral lists this long non-coding RNA (659 nucleotides) under Marmota monax (woodchuck). The record is from RNAcentral. Lineage: Eukaryota; Metazoa; Chordata; Mammalia; Rodentia; Sciuridae.
UAGAAACAAACGAGACUAACAAACCGGGAGCAUACUGAGAACCCAAGAACAAUCCAUACAGAUAACCACAAAAACAUCCUAACCCCCAGUUGAACACGUUCUGUAUGUAAAACUCAAGGUCAGCUGAGUGCAUUCUGGCAACUGGAAUGCUUUGUGGAGGAGGGUUACGGGGAAAACCACAGAAACAAAGGUCAGAAUAUACCCACGGUCAACAAAGCAGUCCCCACACCCACAGACCAGGACCCUCUCAGACAGAAGCGCUGAGGAGCUGAAUACUUGAAGGAAUCCUUGAGGAACUCAAGGAUUGCCAACUGAUUCCAAAAGAAUUUAUUAAAAGCACAGAGACAGCAAGAGCCCACACCUGUACCCCCAGCAACACCCCAAGCCCAGAAAGGAGGAUCCCAAAGGUCACAACAGCCCAAGCAGAAUAGGGUCUGUGAAAAUGGGGAACCGUUUGCAAGCCAAGCUUGCUUUAUUCCUGGGUGGGUCCAGAGUGCUACACCCACAUUGCUGAUGCUCACAGUUACAGGUGAACAUCACCAAAACACAAUCUUACUUCUUUUUUGUGACCCCGUAUAUUACUGUAAUCAACACCACGACACAAUUGAAAGAGUACCUGACUUAAAAUUUUAAAAAAAAAAAGAAACGGGAAGAGGCCC